AUUCAUUUAGGACUUGAAAUUGACAUCAUUUUUGGGAUGUCAGACCUCUAAAUAAGAACACACCUAAGCCACCAACUGCUAAAGUUACAAUGAGAGGCAAGGUAAUGGAGUCAACAUCUACAGCUCUGUUUAUCCUAUCUGUUCUCUCUUGGCGAGCCCAGUACUCAUGAAGCAGAUUGCUCAGAUUGUCUAACUGGUGCAUGAUCUGGCGUUGUCCUCUUCCAAUUUGUAGAAUCUCUUCCAUCAGUGGUGACUCCCUAGCUAAUUGUGAUGAGGAUGAGGAAGUUGGUAGCAGUGAUCCAGUUAAUGCACCAUUACCCAAACCAGCAACAAAAACAGAAGUGGGUCCAGAGCCAUUGCAGGCUUCUGCCUGCAUUGGCAAGUUUUGUUGGCUAGCUGAAACUUUCCUGAUAGUGAACUUGGAAUUCAGCUCCUCAAUCCGAGAUGUGAACUCAUCCAUCCUCUCAUUCAGUGUGGCAAUCUGUUCAGAGAGUUGAGUAAUAACACCCUGGUUUGCAAGUGUGGCUGGUGACUCUGGAGUUCUUCCGUC
Molecule: unclassified non-coding RNA, 550 nt
Filed under: Hevea brasiliensis (rubber tree)
Lineage: Eukaryota; Viridiplantae; Streptophyta; Magnoliopsida; Malpighiales; Euphorbiaceae
Source: RNAcentral